Molecule: RNA transcript, 1161 nt
Organism: Amphimedon queenslandica
Lineage: Eukaryota; Metazoa; Porifera; Demospongiae; Haplosclerida; Niphatidae
Gene name: UDP-glucose:glycoprotein glucosyltransferase-like
Exons: 10
Source: RefSeq, a predicted model, not a curated record
AAAAUAACAGAUGAGGAGCUUGUAGCUUUAAAAGACUCUCAUGUAUUUAAUGAGUGGUUAUCAUUAUUCAUGCAUUAGUGAUAUUAUUAAGUUGAUCCUCAGAUGAAGAAAGCUGGAUUACUAAGACACACACAAAUUAACAGCAGAAGCAUUGUGGAGAAAAGACAGUGUUUUGAUGCACAUAUGGAUUCUCCUAUACCUGGUCUACAGUAUGUGAUGGGUACUGAUACUGAUCCUGAACUAUAUGAUACAAUAGUAAUGGCUAAUCUUGGUUAUUUCCAGCUAAAGGGUAAGCCAGGAGCAUGGAAGCUGAGACUAAGAGAAGGAAGAUCAUCAGAAGUAUAUCAAAUAUCAAGUUACUAUCAGUCCAGAGUUGGUUCAGGUGGUAAUGUAUCCUCAAUACCAGUUAAUGUAUCCAGUUUUACCGGUAAUCACUUAAUAGUACGAGUGACAAAGAAGCCAGGGAUGGAAAAGGCCAGUCUCCUACUGAGCAAGACUGAGAACCAACAAGCCACACCUACUGGCUCCACCCCUUAACAAAAUGGUGGAAUAAUUGACUCAAUCUCAAAGUUCUUUGUACCUGAUGAUGCUCCAAUCAUUACUGGGUCUAAUGAUACAGUCCCUACCACUGAUACUAUUAAUAUAUUCUCAAUAGCUUCUGGACACCUUUAUGAAAGAUUCCUAAGGAUUAUGAUGCUAAGCGUUCUGAAACACACUAAAAAUCCAGUCAAGUUUUGGUUCCUAAAAAAUUAUUUUUCACCACAAUUCAAAGAUUUCAUUCCCAGGAUGGCUGAGAGGUAUGGGUUUGAGUAUCAGCUGGUACAGUACAAGUGGCCAUGCUGGCUUCAUGGACAAACUGAAAAACAAAGAUUAACCUGGGCGUACAAAAUAUUAUUUCUAGAUGUACUUUUUCCAUUAAAUAUUAAGAAAAUAAUUUUUGUCGAUGCUGACCAAGUAUACAAUGUAGUUAUAAAAGUUAUUAUUAAUUAUAAUUACUUAUUAACAGUUACUUAUAAUUAUUAAUGGUUAUUAAUAGGUGGUUCGUACUGAUAUGAAGGAAUUGUUGGAGGAGCCAUUGGAUGGAGCACCUUAUGGAUACACUCCUUUCUGUGAUAGUCGUACUGAUAUGGAUGGAUUCAGGUAAUUAAUGAUAUGUAGUAU